Long non-coding RNA from Archocentrus centrarchus (flier cichlid), 669 nucleotides. RefSeq lists it as uncharacterized. Lineage: Eukaryota; Metazoa; Chordata; Actinopteri; Cichliformes; Cichlidae. The record is from RefSeq and is a predicted model, not a curated record. The transcript is spliced from 5 exons.
GACAACCCACCGUCCCCUCCACCGAGGAAAAGACCUUGAUAUCAGUGGCUGCUCUGCUUUGAAUCUGGCCUGAUUGGGCCACAAAAGGAGUAGACCAAAAUGGCUUUGCCUCAUCCUGGACUGUUGGACAGUGAAAUGAGCCUGAGCUGCGGGGCUACCUCCCAUUUUGGAGGUUAGAUGAUGUCCUGCUUUUACUCAGCACCAUAAAGGAGGAGAAUGUGCAGACUGCAUGUGAACCAGUCCAUCUGCAAAGACAGCUCAGGACGUCACAGCAGAACUCCUGAUGGUCUCACCUCACAGCACCAUGAAUGUAUGAAAAUGCUCCAACCUCUCUCCUCACCGAAUGUGUCGCCCCCCUGCGACUUUGUCUACUUCCCAGAAAUGAAAAUCAGUUUUGGCACACGCCAGAUUUAAAUCAGUUGUGGAUCCCCCCGAGCAUCUGCAGGGAAGGAGAGUGGCUCCUCUCCAGCACCGUCACAUUGAACCUGCGACAGACACGUUUCACCGCACAGCUAAACAGCAGCUCACCAUCGCUGGGAGGAAGAAACGUGAUCAAAAAAUGACCUCUGCUGUCUGAAGUAACAGACCCAAGUGUCCCCCAAAAGCUGAUGCUUUUUUGGCAGAGAGGAGAGGAGAGGAGAGGAGAGGAGAGGAGAGGAGAGGAGAGGA